This 307-nucleotide ribosomal RNA is filed under the name uncultured Pseudomonas sp. RNAcentral describes it as "bacterial SSU rRNA". It matches the Rfam family "Bacterial small subunit ribosomal RNA", at positions 26 to 335 of the family's 1533-position model. Lineage: Bacteria; Pseudomonadati; Pseudomonadota; Gammaproteobacteria; Pseudomonadales; Pseudomonadaceae. The record is from RNAcentral.
AGAACGAACGCUGGCGGCAGGCCUAACACAUGCAAGUCGAGCGGAUGAGAGGAGCUUGCUCCUCGAUUCAGCGGCGGACGGGUGAGUAAUGCCUAGGAAUCUGCCUAGUAGUGGGGGACAACGUUUCGAAAGGAACGCUAAUACCGCAUACGUCCUACGGGAGAAAGUGGGGGAUCUUCGGACCUCACGCUAUUAGAUGAGCCUAGGUCGGAUUAGCUAGUUGGUAGGGUAAAGGCCUACCAAGGCGACGAUCCGUAACUGGUCUGAGAGGAUGAUCAGUCACACUGGAACUGAGACACGGUCCACG